Molecule: long non-coding RNA, 1072 nt
Organism: Condylura cristata (star-nosed mole)
Lineage: Eukaryota; Metazoa; Chordata; Mammalia; Eulipotyphla; Talpidae
Exons: 3
Source: RefSeq, a predicted model, not a curated record
UCCGAAGGUUUGCCCUCGAUUUCACCAGGUUAAGCCAACUCCAGUAGUGUUAUGAUCAGAAAGACUUCUGAAAUGCUGAUCUGUAACCUGAUGACUGUUGAAUAUGUAAAAAAAAAAAAAAUGUCCUGCAUCCACACAUAAAAACCUAAAGAAUGUAUUUGACAAGUCCGUCAGCUUCCCUGGAGCCUCUAGAACUGAAAAAGAACUGCAGGUUUUGGUAAAGUCAUGAAAGCAAGAACAGAAGAAAGGCAAAGAGAAGCACAUGGGCCAAGUUAAGGACUAUGAUGAUAUUCCUUAGGAUUUUUUAGUACAUUUGCCUAUGUGGGUGGAAAGUGGAGAGAUGAAUCUCCUCUUACUGUUAAUAACUGGGCAAUUUGGGUUAAGUGAUAGUAUGUGCUUCUUUUUGAGUAUAUUUAAAGGUUUGGAGAGGUAGGAUUGAAACCAGCUUUUCAAGUAAGCUUAAUUGUUGUUUAGUUUGUUGAACACGAGCCAUUUAAAUCUUGCAAAUCUAUGCUUACUGGUGGGAAGCUGCUCUGAAUGUGACCCCUAAUAUAGUGAUGAGAGCAAAAGGUUUGAAUGAUGCGAGGAAGAGAUCCUUCAUCUUCUGUUCUCUGGACUUUUUCUUAAAGAGAUAUGUCUGAUUACUUUUAUAUGGACACAUGGGUAAUCCUAGAUAGUUACCUCAUUUCACUGACUUAAUGAGAUCUACAGAAUCCCUUUUACCAUAUAACUAACAUUAAAUUUUCAUGGAUUAGCACCUGCAACUCUUAACCUACCACACUGAGCAUUAAUGAAUUGCAUAGCUAUAGAGUCACCAACAAGAUGUGGCUAUCUCAGGUACAGGGCUACAUCACCUGGGGACCAGGCUAAUGUUCCUAGGGAUGCCUCCUUCUGGUUCAUUGCUUUAUCAGAGAAGGACAGUGGGGCUGUACAGAAAGAAUUAACUCUGUUUAUCUUUGAAAUGCCUGAUCACAAGGUUGGCCGUUUUCUGGUGUUUGGGAACUGCAAUUUAGGGAGGGUUCCCACUUUUUGCAGAACUGAUGAGAAUGAGUCAUUGUACAUAAAUUAUUUC